Glycine soja is the source of this 520-nucleotide long non-coding RNA. RefSeq lists it as uncharacterized. The record is from RefSeq and is a predicted model, not a curated record. Lineage: Eukaryota; Viridiplantae; Streptophyta; Magnoliopsida; Fabales; Fabaceae. The transcript has 4 exons.
CCAAAAUCCCUAAAUCAAAUGGCCGAAGAAGAAUCUGGACAACCUAUAGUCAAUUUGCAUGCAUCUCAUUGUGCAGUCAUGAACUUAGGGCUCCAAUUUUUGUUUUAUAUUCAGUAGUUUUGGAAGGAUUGAAAAAUAAAAUUAAGGAUUUUCUUUCCCCAUAUGACUACAGGUGAUCCACCCCAACAAAAGACAAGUCAAGGAAAUGAGAAAAAGAAUGAAGAUGAGAAUAUUACUCAAGGCGAUCCACCUCAAGAGGAGAGAAGUCUAAGAAUUGAGAUAGAGGAAUAACUCAAGAAUAUUACAAAAGGCGAUCCACCUCAACAGGAGAGAAGUCGAAAAAUUGGCAUAAAGAAAAAAUUCAAGAAUAUAGCACAAGAUGAUGCACCUCAACGGGAGAGAAGUCGAAAAAUUCAGAAAAACAAAGAACUCAAGAAUAUUACGCAAGGUUAGUAUGAUUUUCUUUGAAAUCAAUUAUUUUCCACAAGUGUUUUAUGUUUUCGCGUGGUUUCCGAAGGCA